CCUACGGGAGGCUGCAGUGGGGAAUAUUGGACAAUGGGCGAAAGCCUGAUCCGGCCAUGCCGCGUGUGUGAAGAAGGCCUUCGGGUUGUAAAGCACUUUCAGUGGGGAAGAAAGCCUUGGGGCUAAUACCCUCGAGGAAGGACAUCACCCACAGAAGAAGCACCGGCUAACUCCGUGCCAGCAGCCGCGGUAAUACGGAGGGUGCGAGCGUUAAUCGGAAUUACUGGGCGUAAAGCGCGCGUAGGCGGUCUGAUAAGCCGGUUGUGAAAGCCCCGGGCUCAACCUGGGAACGGCAUCCGGAACUGUCAGGCUAGAGUGCAGGAGAGGAAGGUAGAAUUCCCGGUGUAGCGGUGAAAUGCGUAGAGAUCGGGAGGAAUACCAGUGGCGAAGGCGGCCUUCUGGACUGACACUGACGCUGAGGUGCGAAAGCGUGGGUAGCAAACAGGAUUAGAUACCCGAGUAGUC
RNAcentral lists this ribosomal RNA (465 nucleotides) under Vreelandella stevensii. RNAcentral's name for it is "partial 16S ribosomal RNA". It matches the Rfam family "Bacterial small subunit ribosomal RNA", at positions 338 to 795 of the family's 1533-position model. Lineage: Bacteria; Pseudomonadati; Pseudomonadota; Gammaproteobacteria; Oceanospirillales; Halomonadaceae. The record is from RNAcentral.